GAUGAAGAACGUAGUGAAAUGCGAUAAGUAAUGUGAAUUGCAGAAUUCAGUGAAUCAUCGAAUCUUUGAACGUAUCUUGCGCUCCUUGGUAUUCUGAGGAGCAUGCCUGUUUGAGUGUCAUUAAAUUCUCAACUACACUGACUUUGAAUUGGUGUGGCUUGGAUUUGGGGGGAAAAUUGUUGUGGGCUUUUUGUAUAGUCUGCUCCCCUGAAAUUGAUUAGCGGUACCUUUGUGGAACUGUCUACAGGUGUGAUAAUUAUCUACAUCUUAGACAUCUGCUGGAAUGCUGCUUUCUAAACCUUACUUGUAUUGACAAUCUUGACCUCAAAUCAGGUAGGACUACCCGCUGAACUUAAGCAUAUCAAUAAGCGGAGGA
RNAcentral lists this unclassified non-coding RNA (376 nucleotides) under soil metagenome. Its description in RNAcentral is "partial contains 5.8S ribosomal RNA, internal transcribed spacer 2, and large subunit ribosomal RNA". The stretch from base 1 to 120 matches the Rfam family "5.8S ribosomal RNA", at positions 35 to 154 of the family's 154-position model. The record is from RNAcentral.